GCCGAGCCUUGUAACGUGGGCUUGUGACCCAGUGGGGGCAAUAAUGUGGUGGAAUGUUGGGUUGUUUCUGAAGGCUGGGCUUCGGGUGGCUAAUGCCUGGCCUGCCCUAUCCAAGCAUGGAGUUGAGUCAUGUGGCCCAAACGUAAGUAUGGGCUGCUUGGCUCCUAGAGCGGGGCGGACUGCGUGAGGCUGGUUUCACAGUGCAACGAACAGCUCCCGCUCUGUGCGGUGGAAGGUUAACGGGCCAGUGCUCUUCAAGUCCAACAAACACCUGAUGGGCUUCUCCAAUUAAACCACCACUUUU
This 304-nucleotide signal recognition particle RNA is filed under the name Nicotiana attenuata. RNAcentral's name for it is "SRP RNA Plant_SRP". It matches the Rfam family "Plant signal recognition particle RNA". The record is from Rfam by way of RNAcentral. Lineage: Eukaryota; Viridiplantae; Streptophyta; Magnoliopsida; Solanales; Solanaceae.